AUUGAACGCUGGCGGCAGGCCUAACACAUGCAAGUCGAACGGUAACAGGAAACAGCUUGCUGUUUCGCUGACGAGUGGCGGACGGGUGAGUAAUGUCUGGGAAACUGCCUGAUGGAGGGGGAUAACUACUGGAAACGGUAGCUAAUACCGCAUAACGUCGCAAGACCAAAGAGGGGGACCCUCGGGCCUCUUGCCAUCGGAUGUGCCCAGAUGGGAUUAGCUUGUUGGUGGGGUAACGGCUCACCAAGGCGACGAUCCCUAGCUGGUCUGAGAGGAUGACCAGCCACACUGGAACUGAGACACGGUCCAGACUCCUACGGGAGGCAGCAGUGGGGAAUAUUGAACAAUGGGCGCAAGCCUGAUGCAGCCAUGCCGCGUGUAUGAAGAAGGCCUUCGGGUUGUAAAGUACUUUCAGCGGGGAGGAAGGGAGUAAAGUUAAUACCUUUGCUCAUUGACGUUACCCGCAGAAGAAGCACCGGCUAACUCCGUG
Molecule: ribosomal RNA, 490 nt
Filed under: uncultured bacterium
Lineage: Bacteria
Description: partial 16S ribosomal RNA
Rfam family: Bacterial small subunit ribosomal RNA
Source: RNAcentral